Molecule: long non-coding RNA, 12471 nt
Organism: Musa acuminata AAA Group (dessert banana)
Lineage: Eukaryota; Viridiplantae; Streptophyta; Magnoliopsida; Zingiberales; Musaceae
Exons: 5
Source: RefSeq, a predicted model, not a curated record
GCUAGCGUUUUCGCUGAAGCAAAAAAAAAAAACCUAGAAUUGGAGGUGGGUCGGGAGACGAGAAUGGAGGCGGUAAAGCGCGGCCGGUGGAUGGAUCGCCUUCUAUUUUUGAUAUGGAUCGUCUCUUUACUCCUCAUCUCUUGUUUCUCUCUCUCACAGUGUGACCGCGGUGUCGUCCGGGGGUUACCCGGGUUGACAGAAGAGAGUGAGCACACAGCGGCGACCGCACCGCCUCGAUGCCGUCGCUGCUGCGUGCUCACUACUCUCUCUGUCAUCUCCACCUCCCCGGCGGUGCGCGGUGGGUGAGUUGGGCAGAUGUAGAUGCUACUCUCCCCUUCGGUUUACUCCCGACUGCGGCUGGGCAAAACCCAACGGGCGAUAGGAAAGAGGCGAGGGUGAGGAUGCUUUCCAUGUAUGGAUUAUUGCAUCGAUGGAGGGGCGGACACGCGUGCGCUGCUCUCUCUCUUACUCAUCUCGUGUCGGCCAUCUGUUCCGCCGAGACGUCUCUUCCCUUGUGGGUUUGUUUCGAGGUGCGGAGAUGUAGCAGCGUAGGGUCUAUCAUUUCAUGGCAGUAGUUUGUUCCGCUCUCCUCCCGAUUUCAUCUUUGAUGCGCCGAAAAAAUUGGAGUGGCAACUCGACGAAUCGAGAGGGUGAAGAAAUCAGAUAACAAAAGAAAAUAAAAGAGAAGGGGGGGUUAGGGAAAUAACAGGAUAACUACUGCGUGACUUUUGAGGCGCAGUUGUUCAUCCGGCAGCGAGAUAGGAUGAGGGCAGGGUUACACGUCUUGUUCCUGUCUGUAUCUUCCUCUUCCUCUUGUGCUGCUGGACGGUCUUCUUCUUCUUCGAUCCGUCCUCUCCUCCUCCUCCUCCUCCUCACUUUUUUCUUAUAGUUUGCUCUCCAUAUCGUCAAGGAGCUGAUCUUGGAUGAUGUUUCUUGGAUGAGAAAUCGCUUCCUUUCGCCAUUAUUCGUUGCUUCGCGCAUGCUAUCGGAUUUGUUGGAUCAGUAAUUCGGACUUCGUUCUGUGUUCGCCGUUCUUAAUCAUUUCUUAGAGGUAAAACACGCUCAGGUUCUCGACAAGGAGGCUUUUAUUCCUUGUCACCGAUAGUUACUGGCAUUUGAGUAAUUUAUGCUCUUUCCCGAUUAAGCAGUGCAUGUAUGGACAUUGUGUGUCGAUUGAUUGAUGUAUGUUAGACAUUUAAAUUCACGACUUCUGUAAUAGCGGUGUAAAACGUUCUUGUUAUGAGAUUGAUUGCAUAUGAUUUAAGAAGAAAGAUCUUGGACUUGCGUUUUCUUUCGUAUGAGUUCUAAUAAGUACCGAGGACUAGCCACUUAUUUGAUAUCGUUUCCUGAAUCUUGUUGACAAAUAUGAAUUGUUAGGUAUUACAAAGAGAUCGACACUCGGUCUUGUUUAUUAUGUGGAAAAUUCAACUUUGCUGUCUGAGUAUUGGAUAUUAUGGUGGGAUGGCAUGCUGUCUCGUUCAAUGACCGUGUGGAGUAAUCAAAGAUUUAGUUGAUUUUUGUUUUCGGUUAAGAUGAUUCUAGAAGAGACAUUGUGUUUCUGAGAUUAUGAGAAUACAACGCAUCACUGCUUUUUUCUUUAGCCCACCUUGGAAAUUUAGCUAUCUUAACCCCUUUUUUAUGUUUUUGUUGAGACAAAGAACAGCACUAUAAUUCUUAAAGAGAGUCAGAACUAAGCAAAUCCUUGUUGUCUACAUGGAAGAUGCAAGUACAGUAUCUUAGACUGAUUUGUGCAACAUAAUGUGAAAGUAGAUUAUAACCAUGAUGAAUUGGCAAGGAAUCAAGAGGGAAAAUUUUGUUGGUUCUAAUUUCCCUUUUUUUUAUUGUGCGAUAGGAAAUAAUGUGGUCGUUCCCAGUUGAAAUAAUGACAUGGGUACGUCUUUAAGCUUUCUCUGUCCGAAGACAAAUGAAUCCAGGAGAUCAAGCCUGGAACGUUAUUUUGUGUAAAUUAUGGUAAGAGCUUUGACGAUGGAAGAUGGUAUCUAAGCUAGAAGUCUUUUUCUUGGCUUAAAUUCAUAAUGAAGGCUUCAACAUGGUGACAAGCACCACUUUGCUUUGACAUUUUGACCCAAGCCAUUCCCUUUUUCGUUCUUCCUUAGCCAUUAAUACCAUCUCCCCGUGGGGAAAAAAAUUCUACAAUGUUUAUUUCUAUCAGAGAAUCAUUUAUCAUGUCAUGUUUAUUGUGCCUUUAGUUUGUUUUGUGGAUUUAGUGACCAUAUACGCGUCACAUCCUAUCCUUCACUUUGUCAGUAAUACCAGAAGGUACAUAACUCCUCUCUGAACUAAGAAUAAUUGAAUGGCUCUGCUACAAGGAGAAAAACAAAGUGCAUCUUGCUGUCAUGCUGAGCCCCAAUACAAGAUUUAGAAGAGUGGUCUAGAGUGGCUCCAGUUAACUUAGUAAGAUCACUAUACUUUCCUGACGUUGUGUUCUUUCAUUUUGAAAUAGUGUUCCAUGUUUAAUUAUCUUAUUUUUGUUCUUAAUAAACUUUAGGCAGUUGCUCCAUUGAUUUUGCUGGAUGAUCUUAGUUGUUAUUUGUGAAUCUUCUGCUUAAACCAUAGCAUCUUAUCUCCGCUUUGUCCAAUUUGCUUUGGGUUCAGCUAACUCUUACUAGUUUUUUUUUCUUUUUUGUCAGCAAUGACCCCUAUCCGGUUCGUGCGUCGUACAUGGGUCAGGAAAGCUUCUGUAACGUAGAGUUUUUUACUGUUAGGAUAAUGGGACAUCGGCAUAUUUAUGAUUCAUAGAGUACUCUUCAUUUAAUAUGGUUACAUUGCAAAUAAAAAUAUUCUAUUGAUGCCAGAUUCAGUAGGGAUCUAAGUACUAUAUAGAAUGUCACCUAUACUCUUUUGGGUGUGCUUUGUUUAAGGUGAUGUUUUUUAUUGUCGAGUUGAAACACAUGGAAAAACUAAUAAACAUGUACUUAAUAGUAUAUUUCUGUAUUCUGUUAAUUAUCUGGCUUUAGGGUGGCAUCCUCUUUGUCAACCUACUUUAUAUUUAAUCUUCUCUUUUGCUACCUGAGGUCUAUGGGCUGGUAUGGAGACAAAUACUAUUCUUCUGGAUAACUCGGGAGAUUAGUAAUGUUUUUCCAAGUACCUUUGCUGGAUAAAAAAUCUAUAGGAACCUGUGUUGUCAUAUUGAUUCAUAUUGACCUUUGAUCCGUUGGACCAUCCCAAGUAGGCUUUCUUUUGAAUCUUUUCAUCUGUUCACUGAUGGUGUGAUAUCCCUGACUAAUGUUCUUUGGCAAGGAGGAGUGGAAGACCCCAGGUUAUUUCAUGAGUGUGGAAAUACAACAUGGAGGGGGGAGGGAGAGAAUGACAUACAUACAUACAAUGGCAUGUUGCAGUAUAAGCAGGCAAGCAAGCAGAAGAGAAGACACCAUUUAAUGGGCAUACUUAAACAAGUCCCAGCAAACCUUAGAAUAAGUUCUAGCAUGUCCAACACCUUGUUCAGAAAAUUUAAUGGGAUAUUAUGAUGGCCUUUGGUAGAUAAUCCCUAGCCAUGAAUUCCAAAUCUAGAACUGGUAAACAAUCCAUAGCAAUCUUCACCAGCUCAAAUCUCCUACACUUGGUGACUAGGAUUGACCUGUGAUUCUUUCUUGGUUGACUCUGGUUGACAGUUUGUUUUAAUGUAUAAUAUGCAAAAAAGGCUUGAUCUUGAGAAGCAAAGAUUUGUGUUAACAUGUCCUCUUCUCUUAAACACUCAUAGGAUUAGUUACAAUAAAAUUUUCUGUCAGCUGUGUCAUUCUUUGUCAUCGGAGAAGGAUGAAUCUUAUUUAAUUGUUCGAAAACACGAUGAACACUGAAAUUUUUUGUUGUUGGAUAUCCAACAAAAUGAACUUAGAGAUCUUUGGAACAUGCUUCACAAAUAAGUUGUAUGGACCUUUCAAAUUUAUGCUUCACAAAUUUGUUGGAAUGGAUUUGUCUUUUAGUAAGUUACAUUAAGUUGUAGGAUCAGAAAUUUAGCUAAAACCUAAAGCGAUCUUUGUUUAUUACAAGUCAAAUUAAGGUGCAUGCAUGUUAGUGUUUCAAGGAAGGUGUGAGCGACCCAGAUACAUAGAGAAGAGCAUAAGUUUUGAUGCUUAAAUAGAUUAACUCUAUAAGGUGAAUAUAGCAAAACGUGAUAAUUUGAUCGAUAAAUGUACUACCAUGUCCAUAUAUUCUGUAAAACACUUCCUGAGUACAAGAAACCCAUCAAUUUUGAAGGAGAGUAUGAAACACAUGCUCAAGAUAGAUGCCCUAGGAAGAGAUGUAACUAGCAAUAUGUUUGAAAGGAUUUCAAAGACCCAAAAGUUGAAAUAUGUGACAUAUGUGGCUGCUGAUUUACAUAGGUUGGUGAACAGAAGAUUCAAAACUGGUUCUGGAAUGGGAGGGUGCAGAUGGCCGUAAAUAUUUGGUUUAGGGAAGUGAACAUCCCCCCCUCUAAAAAAACGAGAAUUGAUAAAUAAUAUUGUGAUGUCCAUAAAUUUUGUUAAUCACUUUUGAAGUAUUAGACACACUGGAAUGAUAAAAGAUGAAACUACACAAAAUAAGAUCAAUAUGUGAAUAAAUGUCAAAUUUUGUAUGUUUAAAAUGAAUAUGUGAAUAAACUAAUUAACAUUUUUUUUAUGAAGUAUCCAAUGGGUGUCUUAAGUAGGUUUUUUGAUGACAUAGUUUGGAUGUUUAUGUUCAUCUGCAAGAUCAACAUAGAUGCAAAUAGUCUCUUUGUUGAGCAAAGACAUUUCUUUUCCUUCCAUAUAGAGGAUGCUGGUAAGAAGAAGACUAAACUUUAACUCCAAGUAACUUAUAAAUACUUGAGCUCUGUUUCCCUCUUUUCUGCCCCUUGUAACUAAAUUUAAAUUAUUGUUUUCUCUAUUUGAGCAAUAUGAAUUGCUCGGUUAAUCUAUUUGAGCAACAUGACUAAACUUAUUAUCAUACCUCAACUUAUGCUUUUUCUGAAUGUGAAUCUUUGAUGUAUACACUUAAUUUCCAUUUUUAAUUUUCAAUUAAUGAAUAGGAGUUUGAUGUUCUCUAUGUUAUGAAUUGGAGGCCUAAUUUUUAACUAUUCUAGAUUAAACGUAUGGAUAUGUUAGGUAUCAACUUCCACAUGGUAUAUAUGAAACAGAAAUUUGAUUGCAAUCUAAAAGAGUCUACUGGACUGUCACGGCCUUAGCUGGAAUUGCUUAAGGCGUGAGGCACCCUUGCAGCCAAAGACGCAAACUUAGCUUGCGUCGCCUAAGUCGCGGGUCACCCUUGCGGCAAAGACGCGAACUUAGCUUGCGUUGCCUAAGUCGCGCUUUGCCCUUACAAUAUUGCUCCGCAAGGAUCAGCCAACUUGUAACCUCUCGCAGGUCCCGAAGGACCUGUAAAAAGAGAAAGUUGAUUAGUUCGAAAGAACGAGCGGUGGACAAGUCCCGACGUCUCGUGAAAAGGGUAAGCUUUAUAAGCAAUUCAGCGAGUACCUUGCGUGCACAAGAGAAAAGAGGGAGAGGGGGAAAACAAGGCUUUAGAAGGUUGAACGAACAGUUGCAAGCCCACAAACAGCCACUCACCUGGUCCCGGGCGGGACAACAAGUUCCUGUCAAGGCAACGUGCGAACUUGCGAAAGAGUGUUCAACGCCCGGUAUAUAACCGAAGCCCCAUCCAGCCCUGGGCCACCCGGGGUUCAAGAGGGCUGAGAUGGCUGACGUUUUGGUGAGCGGAGGCAGAUUCCAAAAAUCAGCCCACGGCAUGUGAAAACGGAGCUGUUUUGGGUUGUUUUGGGGUUGUUUUACUCGGUUCGGUGAGCGGUCACUUUGUAACGCUGCAGCUUGUUCGAACUUACAUUUUUACAAGCAAAAUGAUCCAAAACCAAGAGAAAACAUGUUGUCAAGCAGCUGUACAAGUAGGUGUGAGCGACGAACGGUUCGUUGAAUGGAGUUGUUGCGAGUGCGCGAUGACCGUUCGUGACAGGACGGUCUUGUAUAGUUAGCUGGUCUAAACAGAAAAGCAUUCUUAUGAAAAGAGAAGUAUGUUGCAGCUUUCGUGUUCAUCCUUCUAUUUACUCGCGCGGUAGUUAGAUCUUUCUCCUAACUCCACAUAUUUCAUUUUAUGUUUUAUGUUUACCAAGCUGUUAGAUUUUUUUUUUUUGUUUAUCUAUGUAAUAUAUGGUGAUGGGGAGUAUAGGUUCGUUUUCGAUGUAUUAGUUGUAGUACUGUGUUGUUAGACUUGUAUAAGGACAGGAUACACUUCUAGCAUCAAACAAGGUUUAGGGCUGAGCAACAUCAUAGUACUCUUUUUAAUUACAUUUUAUGAUCAUGUGAACUCCCUGAUUUUUAGUAAUAGCAAUAUUAGAAGAACAUGAGAGUUACUAUGAUCACUACAUGAGCAUUUCUAUUAAUCUCCGGAUUGAUUUUGUGGCGCAAAAAAACUGACUACUUAAUAGUUCUUUUUAGGUAACUGUUAUAUUUUGGUAAUGUAGUAUUUAACAAAUGUAAACAGUCAGUAAGUAGAAGCUGGACAAAAUAACCUAUGGUCCAUUUGAUCAAAGUAGUGAUUUCAAUAGGCACUCGGGCUAAGCGAGGUGAGGCUCGAGCGUCUCGCUUCAUUUCCAGAUGGUGUGCUUCAAAGAAGCGCCACUUGGGCGCUCGCUCAAGCCUAGGUGUCGGGCACUUUGAGCGAGCGCCCGAGUUAAAUCAGACGAUCGAACCAACGUUUUAGGUCUGGUUUGAUCUCCAGUGCUUUAAUUGGUUCAAUCGAACCAACUAAAACACCGAUAUCAGCUUUCCUCUCGUGACUUCUCCAACCCUAACCUUGCUCGUGAUUUUACCGUCGAGAUUUCUUCUCCGUUGUCGCUGCUCGUCGUUGCUGUCACUGCUCGCCGUUGUUGUCAUUGCUCAUCGCUGUUGUCACUACUCGUUGCUACCGAUCCCACUAUCGCCGCUCACUACUCCCACUGCUGAUAUCGCUCAUCGCUCCCACUGCCAUUGCUCCCGCUCCUGUUGUCAUUGUCGUCGCUCCCACUAUCGCUAGUGUUGCUCUUAGUCAAUAGCCUCGGUCUUCCUCUUUGUCACAUUUUUCUCACUUCGAUAAUAUAUUAUUAACAAUAUUUUAACAAUAUACUACUAACUAUAUACUAGUAAUAAUAUUUUUAUUUAUUAAAUUAAUAAUAUAUUAUUUUAAUUUUGAUACUGUUAAUUUUUAUUUAUUUGAAAUUAUUGUUAUGUUUCAGGAUAAAUGACAAGUGUAUAGAGCAACUUAAUAGAUUCUUCAAUGACAUUAAAAUAAAAUUCUGCAUGGAAGUAUAACUAUCUAAAGGAUCCAAAAGAUCCUAAUGUAGUGAUUUGUAUGUUCUACGAUAAAACUAUUAGAGGCGGUAUUUUUUGUGCAAAACAAAAUCUAGUAUGAAAUUUAAAAAAUGCAGUAGCUUGUAAAAAGUGUCCACUUGAGGUAAAAGAAGAGUUGUUGAGUUAUAUGAAUGAAAAAAGUUAUAUGAAUGAAAAAAAAAAGAUGUGAAAGAAUGAAUGUUACGGAAAUUUACCAGAAGAUAAUGUUAAAUAUCUCAGAGAUGAAAAAGAAGAUUAUUCUAUGAGUAUUAACCCAAGUGGGAAAAAAAUAUACAACAAAAAAGGAAAAUAAGUUAUGAGUACUAAGAAGGGUAUAAAACGAUCGAUAGAUCUAUAUUUGUUUCAAGGAUCACAGAAGCAACAAGAGUAAACAAGAGGUUCAAAUUUUAGACAAACAAAUAUAGGUGAUGCUUGUGAUAAAGAAAUAAGAGGAAGAACAAUUCAGCACAUUACUCACUUCUUCUAUCAAGCUAAUCUUCCCCUUAAUACAACUCGUUUAGACAGUUUUAAGGAAAUAAUUGAGGCUUUUGGAAGAUAAGGUACGUGAUUAAAACCUCAAGCUAUUAUGAGAUACGAGUUUCACUAUUGCAAAAGAAGUUGAAUUAUACAAAUGAUUUACUAAAGAGUCAUAAUGAAUCAUGGGCAAUACAUGGUUACUCUAUUAUAUUAGAUGCUUGGAUUGAAAGGAGACUUGGUAGUAUAAUUAAUUUUAUGGUUAACUAUUCUUUGGGGAUUAUAUUUGUGAAAAUGCUUCAUCUUUUGUAAAAUCUAGAGACAAGAUAUUUAAUUUACUUGACAAGUUUAUGAAAGAAAUUGGAGAACAAAAUAUCUUUCAAGUCAUAACCGAUAAUAGAAGCAACUAUGUAUUAGUUGGUAAUAUUUAUCUUUUAAUAUUUUUUUUAUUUUUUUAAUUAUUUUAUCUUCAAUUAAAUGUGUUAAAAUCUUAAGUCUUAUCAUUUUUGUUAUUAUUUGUCUUUGGUAAAUUACUUGAAACAAAAAGAAAGCAUUUAUAUUAGACUCUCUAUAUAUUAUAUUGAUUUAAUACUAGAGGAUAUUGGAAAGAUCUCAUACAUCAAGAAAAUUUUAGAAAGGAUAAUUUUUGUUGUUGGAUUUCUUUAUAAUUAUAUUGAGACUUUGAAUAUGAUGGAAGAAUUCACAAACAAUAAAGAAUUAAUGAGAUAUGGUAUCACCCGAUUUGUUACUUCAUUCUUGACAUUAUAAAGUGUGCAUCGUCAAAAACAUAAUAUGAGAAACAUAUUUACCUUUGAGAAAUAGGGGAUAAGUAGAUGAGCAAAAGAAGCAAAAGGCAAGAGGGCUAUUGAUAUCAUCUUAAUACUAUCCUUUUGAAAUCAUAUAAUUUAUAUAUUAAAAGUAAUGGACCCUCUUAUUCGAGUUUUUUGGUUGGUGGAUAAUGAAAAUAAGUAUGCAAUAUGAUAUAUUUAUGAGACUAUGGAUUGAGCAAAAGAGACGAUUAAAAGGUUUUUUAAUGAAAAUGAAGAAAAAUAUGAGAAAAUUUUUACAAUCAUUAACAGAAUUCUCAACUUCAUCGUCCUAGUAGAAUAUUAUUUGAAUACUAAAUUCUUUUAUAAGAUUAAAUUUGUUGGGUUUGAUGUAGAAGUUUUGGAUGGGUUAUAUUAGUACGUUACAAGAUUAGUUCCAAGCCUUGAGGUACAAGAUAAGAUUAUUUAUGAAUUAUCUCUAUAUAAAAAUGUUGAAGGUCUUUUUGGAAUUCUUUGAUCCAAGACAACUACGUCUCAAAGUAUUAAUUAUUAAUUAUCUCUAUAUUAACUGAAUGAUGAAAUCUAUUUGAAAAUUUCACCCCAAACUUGCAAUAAUUUGCUAUCAAAGUACUUAGUUUGAUUGUGGUGCUUCGAGUUAUGAGUGAAACUAGAGUGUCUUUGAGCAUGUAAGCAUCACUAAAUAUUUUUAUUUUAAUUAAUUAAUUUAUUUAGAUAGAUAUAUUAAUAUAUUUUUAAAUUAUAUGACAUGACAUAUUCAUUCACGGAGAAAAAAUCGGUUGGAACAUCAACGAUUAUAUGAUCUUGUUUAUAUAAAGUAUAAACAAGCUUUGAAUGCUUGUCAUGAUUUACGAAAUAGAAUUGAUCCAAUCUUAUUACAAGAUAUUGAUGAUUUAAAUAAGUGAUUGGUAGGAGAAAUGAGUGCCAACUUGCAAGAUGCUGAAGACGAGCUUGUAUUUGAAUAUGAUAGAUUGACAUGACGAGAUGUGACAAGAGUUUCAGAUGUUGAAGAAUUAUAAACAUACGUAAGACAGAUAACAAAAAAAAAAAAAAUGAGUGCAAAAGCAUUAAACUCAGCUCAUAUAAAUAAUGAAACAUAUUUUAAUGAAGAGAAAAGAUAAGAGGAAGAUGACAAAUUCAAUGAAGAUGAUUUGUAUGAAAAUGAUAAUAAUAUUUAUUAUGAUAAAUGACUUUGAUGUAAAAUUUUAUUAUUUUGAAUUUUGAGACUUUUUUUUUGUUAAUGUGACAUUACGAUGUUGUACCUUGGAUCUUCUUAAUUUAAUAAUAUAUUUUUAUUUAAAUAAUUAUAUUUAUUAAUUUAUUUUUAUAUUUUUAUAUUUUAACAUCUUGUUUCGCUCGGGCGAGCGUCUAGCGUCUCGAGUAUUUUUAGACCUUGACGUCUUUAUGAAAUUUCAUACUUAAAAGCUCUUUUAAAGCAUCUAGUGGGUAGAUGGUAUUUUGGAACAAUAUUUACUUGUCCCAACAGUUUCAGAAUUUUUGAAUUAAUCCAUGUUCUAAAACUCAUGCUUAGUCGAGUACCGAUAACAUUUAGACAUUAUGAAGGAAUAGCAUAGCACGACACUCUUUUUUAUACUUAUGUUGUCAAUAGCGAGAUCUUUUUGGACUCUAGGCUCUAGCUUCACUAUCGUGUGCUUGGCAAACGAGUUGGUAAGUCAAUCUAAUGAUUUCUUCCUAGGCUCUAGUGACUGACGUCUUGCUUUCUUCUCUUUUACAUGUUGUUGUGACUCGAAUUUGCAUUUUCUAUGGGGGCCUCUCUAAUCGAUUACUUUCUCUUUCACUUUUUUUGUUUUAAUUCAUUCAUGAUUUUCGUUUGAGUUGUCGAAUCACUUUGUUUGUUCUAGUAAAAUUGUAUACUUCCAGCAUUGAUAGAUCAGAGAAAACUGGUUCCUUAAAUCUCAAUUUGAACAGCACUGGAAAACCAAGUGUCUCAUUGAGUUCUUUUAUGAAUUUAUUUUUUCCUAAUUUACCGGUUCUCUAAGUAACAAAUAAAAUUACUCCAGUGCUUUGACAAACCCUUCAUAGUGUCUAAUUUAGUUUGUUGCAUAGAAAUUUCAUUAGUCAAAGGGGCAGUAUUUUUCAGCAGGCUUUUCUUUCAAGAAAUCCCACUGAGAACCCCCUUUUCCUUUGAGGUUCUUUAAUUUCGACCAGAAAAUUUAUAACUCAAUGUCUGUACGUAAUAUAUUACUCUCUUAUUAUCUAAUCAUCCAUCAUCUCUUUUCAUUUCAGUUUUGUUGACCAAACAGAUAUAUAAUGUCCUCUGGAAUGCUAUAUCUUAUUGAUUAAUGGCUUUCUCGAAUUAAUGACUAACACAAGUACAUCUCUACUGGCUUUCAGAACCGACGCACAUGACAAUUGAAGGGUCUCUAUUUUCGUCUUGCUUUUCUUUGAUAUUUGAAAGGAGAUUCUCCAAAAUUUUUCAAAUAGCAAAUAGUAAAUGUACUGCAAUUAGCACAGCAAGAAUGACAAACCACAUAUCUUUUGUUUAUGAUUUCUAACCAAAUCUACUUCAGGUUUCAUUGCCCCACCUAGUGUGGACUCGCCGUGCCUCACAGGAGCAUUUGCAGGAGGAAUCUCUCCUCUUUCUAGAGGAAAAAAGGUAAAAGAAGUUGUUGGAGAACAGCCUGAGUUGCACUUGAGCUGCUGGAAGUAGCUGAGCCGGCUUAAGUUAGGAGUUGCAUACCAUCCGCCACUUCUAAGCAACAGUCUGCUGUCAAAGAUUUUUGAUUUUGAUGGUAUCCGACCAUCCGCCUUCUCUCAGGAGCUUCGAAGUAGCUGGAAAGAAGGGAACGAGAUUGACAGAAUGGCUUUAAAGCAGGAAAAAGGUUUCGAAGAUGAGUACUUUUUGGUGGGAUUUUGGUUCCCAUUUUCUCACUUGUCGAUCCGUAUUUUGGCUCGAGCAGAGAGAACUCAAUGGUUGACAUUUCUGCUGCAAUUGCAUCCACUGGGCAAUGAAGGCACUGUUCAAGAACCUUCUCCGAGGCACAUGUCUUUUGGUGGCCAAUCCUUCGGAAGUGACCUUCCUAAGCCUGUCAAUGGAUCCGAUCUAACAUGAUCUGAGUUUAGAUUUAGAUCCAAUUUUCCAUAUUAAACAGGCAAUAACCACAGGGAGUUGUUCAACCUCCUGAAGACAUCAUGAGCUUUAGCCAUGCCUUGAGUCUGUUCUCUCUGCUGUGUCAUCAGUUUUGAUAGCUCAUACACCUCGAGGCCAAGGAAAUAAAUCUUCUUCCCAGACACGUCGCAAGAUUGUGUCACGGUGCCAUGUAAAAAUCUUAAUUUUCGGUGGAAGGUGGAGACUUCAUGUCCAUUUGUGAACCUGUUUGAACUGUAUGAUCUUGAUGGCCACCCACGGCAGAUUUCCCCUUGCUAUGGAGUCAAUGUGCUCUUGUUUAUUAUCAUUUGAUCCCUGAGAUCUGACGUCGAGAUGGAGAUAUAUGAACCCGCCUAGCCUUCGGAGAUUGAUAGGAAAUCUAGAAGGGCUGCAGAGGAUUUGCAUCUCACCAAGAAGGCAUCUCGACGGGCAGCAUUUUUUAUUAUGGAAGAUGUUUGAAGCUCACCCACCCAAGAUCACAGGCCGCUUUCCCAUCUGGAGCAGGAGGAGAUCAUAGCUUCUGGUAUUGAGGUGGCAUGACCGGGAGAUGGCCCUUCUCCUGGAGGCUCUUCACGGUGUCGUACAGGCUCUGGCUCACCGGCUUACACUGCAGGCCGAGGUCCCUGAGCUGCUGGUCAGAGAAAUUGUACGGCUUCUUCCGUGGAUUCACCUCGUCGGAGCACCUGCCGCCGCCACCAUCAUCAUCCCAAGGAUGCAUCAGUAUUCCGCUUCGUGUUGUACCAUGUAUGUAUUACUGUAUGUUUCUGAAGUAUUAUUAAUAUGAGAGCUUCGAGCCUCCCUUCCACGC